GCUAAGCCUUAAAUAGAGAGCUGCCUUACGAUGCUCUCCGCCAAAGAACUACAAGUGAAAAACUUAAAACUCAAAGGACUUGGCGGCGUCCCAAAACGAUCUAGAGGAGCCUGUCCUAUAAUCGAUACCCCCCGUUUCACCCAACCUUAACUAGCCCGCUCAGCCUAUAUACCGCCGUCGACAGUUUACCCCAUGAGGGAUAAAUAGUAAACACAAAAGUCUUACCACUAAUACGUCAGGUCAAGGUGUAGCAAAUGUUAAGGAAGAGAUUGGCUACAUUUUUUAUUUUAAAAAACACGAAAUGCACAAUGAAACCCUGCAAAAAGGUGAAUUUAGCAGUAAAUUAGAUUAGAGUGUCUAAUUUAACCCCGCUCUGGGACGUGCACACACCGCCCGUCACCCUCCUCAGCAACCAACCAUACCUAUAUAAUACCUUAAAGUUAUUUAGAGGAGGU
Molecule: ribosomal RNA, 455 nt
Filed under: Ichnotropis capensis
Lineage: Eukaryota; Metazoa; Chordata; Lepidosauria; Squamata; Lacertidae
Description: partial 12S small subunit ribosomal RNA
Source: RNAcentral